This 67-nucleotide transfer RNA is filed under the name Metacanthus pulchellus. RNAcentral's name for it is "tRNA-Val". The record is from RNAcentral. Lineage: Eukaryota; Metazoa; Arthropoda; Insecta; Hemiptera; Berytidae.
CGAAUUAAGUCUAAGGGACAUUAUUAUUUACAUUAAUAAUUAGUUAGUGCGAUUCUUUCUAAUUCGA